RNAcentral lists this long non-coding RNA (859 nucleotides) under Homo sapiens (human). RNAcentral describes it as "HSALNT0024678". Lineage: Eukaryota; Metazoa; Chordata; Mammalia; Primates; Hominidae. The record is from RNAcentral.
AAAUAACAGAGGAAUACCUAAGGUUUCAACUAUCUGCAUUGGAAGAUACCUCCCAUUCAAACCAUGUUAAUAUAAUUCCUGGAGCUGCUACAGCCAUGUUGUAAUCACAAGAGGACACCUUUCUCCAACGCCCUUACCCCUGCUGAUGGCUGAGAGGAAAAUCAUGAAUGCCUAUAGCAGUAAUAUGCAAGCUAGAUAUUGAAUUUCAGAGCUAUUACUCUUAGCUCUCCCAAAGCUAUCAUAAAAUGGGAAUAUAUAAUUCUACAAAAAUUAAUAAGAGCUAAUAAUUUGUCCUCCAAAGCUAUUUUUAUUCAUUAAUAUUUAGUAAAAAAUUAUUAAUUAAGCAUAAACCUAAAAUAUAAUAGCUAGUCUCAAAGACCCUCAGGUCUGGUAGAAUGUGUAUCUUCACGAAAUUCAACAGCUAAGAAACCAAGGAUAUUGACAACCAAAUGAAGACUGCAUGUUUAAAUAUAUUUUUCUCUAAAGAUAGUAAAGAUCUACUAUUUACAUUCAUUUUAUUCAUUUCUCUGUCUUCCAUGCUGGUUUCUGAAAUUUUGUGGUCAGAAUUCUGUUUUAUUACUCUUUGUACUCAUAGAAACUCCCAAUACCUGGCACACAGUAGACAUCAAUAAAUGUAUGCUGAAUGAGGACUGAAUACAAUUCCUAGACAUGAAUUAGGAAAAAAAAUGCAAAAUACAGCUACUACACUUAUUUCAACAUUUUAAUUGGAGACAAAAAUCAAUUAUUUCCAUUUAUUAUCAAGAGCUUAUGGAAUCUGGAUAAAGUAUAAACUAUAUUACUUCUGAAUGUUUGAAAAAGCCAUGUUAGGUCGGGUAUGGUGGCUCACACCUGUAAUCCC